RNAcentral lists this ribosomal RNA (460 nucleotides) under uncultured bacterium. Its description in RNAcentral is "partial 16S ribosomal RNA". It matches the Rfam family "Bacterial small subunit ribosomal RNA", at positions 338 to 795 of the family's 1533-position model. The record is from RNAcentral.
CCUACGGGUGGCAGCAGUGAGGAAUAUUGGUCAAUGGACGAGAGUCUGAACCAGCCAAGUAGCGUGAAGGAUGACUGCCCUAUGGGUUGUAAACUUCUUUUAUAUGGGAAUAAAAUGUUCCACGUGUGGGAUUUUGUAUGUACCAUAUGAAUAAGGAUCGGCUAACUCCGUGCCAGCAGCCGCGGUAAUACGGAGGAUCCGAGCGUUAUCCGGAUUUAUUGGGUUUAAAGGGAGCGUAGGUGGAUUGUUAAGUCAGUUGUGAAAGUUUGCGACUCAACCGUAAAAUUGCAGUUGAAACUGGCAGUCUUGAGUACAGAAGAGGUGGGCGGAAUUCGUGGUGUAGCGGUGAAAUGCUUAGAUAUCACGAAGAACUCCGAUUGCGAAGGCAGUUCACUGGACUGCAACUGACACUGAGGCUCGAAAGUGUGGGUAUCAAACAGGAUUAGAUACCCUUGUAGUC